UCCAGCUUAUCGCUGGCGGUCUCCUGAGAGUGCAUCCCUUGCGGGAUUAGCAACACAGGACGAGGGUUGCGCUCGUUGCGGGACUUAACCCAACAUCUCACGACACGAGCUGACGACAGCCAUGCAGCACCUCGACUGCGCGUCCCUUGCGGGAGGGCCAGUAUUUCUACCGGCUUGCGGCAGCCGUUCGAGCCCAGGUAAGGUUCUUCGCGUUGCGUCGAAUUAAACCACAUGCUCCACCGCUUGUGCGGGGCCCCGUCAAUUCCUUUGAGUUUUAGCCUUGCGGCCGUACUCCCCAGGCGGGGUGCUUAAUGCGUUAGCUUCGGCACGGACGGGGUCGAUAUCCGCCCACACCUAGCACCCAACGUUUACGGCUAGGACUAC
This 384-nucleotide unclassified non-coding RNA is filed under the name uncultured bacterium. RNAcentral's name for it is "contains 16S-23S intergenic spacer region". The record is from RNAcentral.